GCAAUUCCGGCAUUUCCCGCCCGAAUCGUCGGCGAAAGAAAAUAUAAGCACGGCACGGACCCGUGAAAUCCCACUGGCCGCCCACCGUCCUCUCCCUCCCUCGCUGCUGCAAGUUCCUUCCUUUUGCGCGACGACUUCCUCGCUCGAAGGGCCUUCCCUCGCCUUCCGCCAUGACUCAUAUCCUUCGAUCUCUCCGUCUCUUUUGUGGGUUUUUCUUCUUUUUUUUGUUUUUGUGGGUACUUCGACGUGCGUUGAUUUGCUCGCAGCGUUCCGUUUCGAUGAUGCCCCCCCGGUCUUUGCUUCGAGAUUUUUUUUUUUUUUUUUGGUCAGACUUUGUUUCGAGAUUCGAUCGUGCCUUUUUGAAUGUUUUGCUCGCUUGCUCGCUUGAAUUUCGAAGAAGGGUCGCGAAAGGAUUCGUGGGUUCCUCUUGCUUUUCCUUGAUUCCUCUCCUUUGAUCUUGAUGUUGAUGUGCACGCGGCAAUCAGAGAGAUCGCGACAGGGAGAGAGCCCAGGCGCGGGGUACCAAGAAGGGGAGCACCAAGGACGACGGCUUGACUGUCGAGCAGCGCCGCGAAAGGUCGGUCCUUUCGAUCUCCAUUAGGGUUUAAGCGAUGGUGAUUUUUGGAGGGUUGUUUGUUUUUUUUUUGGUCCUUUGAUUAAUGAUUUGGUAGCUCCUGUUUUUUCCUUACCGAUGAUGUUCCGAUGUGGGUUUGGUGGUGAAUUUAAUCGGGGGGUUUUGUUUGAUCGGAUCGAUUUAGGGAUGCGAAGGCCUUGCAGGAGAAGUUGGCAAAGAAGGCGGGCCAGGGGGGAGCCAGCGGGGAUGCCGGAGGUAGUAGCAGCGGCAAAAAAUGAAGGGCGUCGGUCCAAUUGGGUUGAUUUCUCCUUUUCCUCCUGAGGGUGUCUUUUGUUCAGUAUUUCUGGGUGGACAUAGUUUCCAUAUGAAGAACAAGACGUGAGUUUGACUGGGUUUGUUGGUUAUGUUUCCGAUUAUACAAUGUCGAGAAGUUUCGUGGUUGUUAAGAAUCUAAUCCAUCAUUGUCAUGUAUUUGUAUCGGUGAUCAUCUAUUAUCAGUGUCAAUGACUGGUAGUCUUUAUGGAAUGUCCUUCUACAACUCGAGCAUUUUAUGAAGCUAUUAGUAAACACUGCGAGAGUUUGCUGCAUGAUUGACAACGCAGGUGAGUAUGUGAUGAUGUCGAGUGCCUGCGGAAAUAGAAUGAAUUGAUUAGAAUC
RNAcentral lists this long non-coding RNA (1231 nucleotides) under Eucalyptus grandis. RNAcentral's name for it is "long non-coding RNA (EGRA_LNC004497)". The record is from RNAcentral. Lineage: Eukaryota; Viridiplantae; Streptophyta; Magnoliopsida; Myrtales; Myrtaceae.